RNAcentral lists this ribosomal RNA (266 nucleotides) under uncultured bacterium. RNAcentral's name for it is "partial 16S ribosomal RNA". It matches the Rfam family "Bacterial small subunit ribosomal RNA", at positions 334 to 616 of the family's 1533-position model. The record is from RNAcentral.
CUGUCCUACGGGGCGCAGCAGUGGGGGAUAUUGCACAAUGGGGGAAACCCUGAUGCAGCGACGCCGCGUGUGGGAAGACGGUCCUCUGGAUUGUAAACCACUGUCCCCAGGGACGAAAAUGACGGUACCUGGGGAGGAAGCUCCGGCUAACUACGUGCCAGCAGCCGCGGUAAUACGUAGGGAGCGAGCGUUGUCCGGAAUUACUGGGUGUAAAGGGAGCGUAGGGGGGGAUGGAAGUUGGGGGUGAAAAAUACCGGCUAAACUGG